RNAcentral lists this ribosomal RNA (421 nucleotides) under uncultured bacterium. RNAcentral describes it as "bacterial SSU rRNA". It matches the Rfam family "Bacterial small subunit ribosomal RNA", at positions 358 to 772 of the family's 1533-position model. The record is from RNAcentral.
AGAAUCAUUCACAAUGGGGGAAACCCUGAUGGUGCGACGCCGCGUGGGGGAUGAAGGGCUUCGGUUCGUAAACCCCUGUCAUCUGUGAGCAAUGGUUUCCAGAUAACACCUGAAAGCUUGAUAGUAGCAGAAGAGGAAGGGACGGCUAACUCCGUGCCAGCAGCCGCGGUAAUACGGAGGUCCCAAGCGUUGUUCGGAUUCACUGGGCGUAAAGGGUGCGUAGGCGGUACAGAAAGUUUGAUGUGAAAGCUCCAGGCUCAACCUGGAAAUUGCAUUGGAUACUACUGAACUAGAGGAUCGGAGAGGAGACUGGAAUUCUUGGUGUAGCAGUGAAAUGCGUAGAUAUCAAGAGGAACACCAGUGGCGAAGGCGAGUCUCUGGACGAUUCCUGACGCUGAGGCACGAAGGCCAGGGGAGCAAA